This is a long non-coding RNA of Centruroides sculpturatus (bark scorpion), 122 nucleotides long. RefSeq lists it as uncharacterized. The record is from RefSeq and is a predicted model, not a curated record. NCBI's taxonomy places the organism in Eukaryota, Metazoa, Arthropoda, Arachnida, Scorpiones, Buthidae. The transcript has 3 exons.
GCAUUGGGAGGAAUAUACCAAAUUUUAAUAGAAAUUUUUUAAGAAGAAACAGAAUCAAAUAGGAGUGUCGAAAUUCCCCAAUUUGGAUUAUGUUUGAGUCUGUCUCUGAGAAUAGAAAAAAA